UACGUAGGGUGCAAGCGUUAAUCGGAAUUACUGGGCGUAAAGCGUGCGCAGGCGGUGAUGCAAGACAGAGGUGAAAUCCCCGGGCUCAACCUGGGAACUGCCUUUGUGACUGCAUGACUAGAGUACGGUAGAGGGGGAUGGAAUUCCGCGUGUAGCAGUGAAAUGCGUAGAUAUGCGGAGGAACACCGAUGGCGAAGGCAGCCCCCUGGGCUAACACUGACGCUCAGGCACGAAAGCGUGGGGAGCAAACAGG
Molecule: ribosomal RNA, 253 nt
Filed under: uncultured bacterium
Lineage: Bacteria
Description: partial 16S ribosomal RNA
Rfam family: Bacterial small subunit ribosomal RNA
Source: RNAcentral